GACAGUAUAGCUCAGUGGUAGAGCACAUGCUUAGCAUGCAUGAAGUCCUGGGUUCAAGCCCCAGCACCUCCA
This 72-nucleotide transfer RNA is filed under the name Camelus ferus (Wild Bactrian camel). It matches the Rfam family "tRNA". From Rfam's summary of the family: Transfer RNA (tRNA) molecules are approximately 80 nucleotides in length. Their secondary structure includes four short double-helical elements and three loops (D, anti-codon, and T loops). Further hydrogen bonds mediate the characteristic L-shaped molecular structure. tRNAs have two regions of fundamental functional importance: the anti-codon, which is responsible for specific mRNA codon recognition, and the 3' end, to which the tRNAs corresponding amino acid is attached (by aminoacyl-tRNA synthetases). tRNAs cope with the degeneracy of the genetic code in two manners: having more than one tRNA (with a specific anti-codon) for a particular amino acid; and 'wobble' base-pairing, i.e. permitting non-standard base-pairing at the 3rd anti-codon position. The record is from Rfam by way of RNAcentral. Lineage: Eukaryota; Metazoa; Chordata; Mammalia; Artiodactyla; Camelidae.